Molecule: long non-coding RNA, 8324 nt
Organism: Sabethes cyaneus
Lineage: Eukaryota; Metazoa; Arthropoda; Insecta; Diptera; Culicidae
Exons: 3
Source: RefSeq, a predicted model, not a curated record
CGUUGUGAGACAAUUCCGCAAUACUAUAAUCCAAUGAAAACCCGUUGAUGUACUGAACAACUUUGUCGAAGACACCAACCGUCUAUUAGGUCAGGAUCACGAGUUAUUCCAUGUUGGAACCAAUUAGGUCAAUUUCCAUAUGCUACGUAGACUCCAAUAAGGACGUUCGACCGCGUUAAUGGAAUCACUCGAGACCGUCCUUAAUGGAAACGUCCUUAUUCGAAACCGCGUCAUUCGGGGACUGCUGUACCUACCGAGAAAGAAAAACGACAAGGUAUACAGCCCUUAGGGUUGUACGAAAGGGUGACGGAGGACUUGUUAGCCUCUAACUGCUCAGUGGGGUGGGGGGGGUUUGAGAGGAAUUUAUGUAGCUUACCGGUACAGUCACAACAAUGCUUAUUAUCACCACGUAACUCGCGCGAACACAGAAACGGAUAUCGAAACAAUAUGCAAAGUUUAACCAAGGGAAAAACUUACCAGUUCAAUUGCUGCUGUUGAAAGGCUAAAUAAAAUAGAAAAAGCAAAAUUCUCAAAAGAAACCAAAAGAAGAGGGCUGAAUACUCCUUUCGAGUUCGGUAAGCGGAAAUCAGGGAAGUUAGUGGCGGAUAAUAUUGCUUAAACCCAAAGUUAUAAUCACUAUUACAAUUUUUAUUGUUCCCUAUCCCGAGAAUUCUCACGGCCUUAUUAAGUGUACUUGCGCGCAUUCGUUUUGGUGUACUAGAGGGGCUAGCGGUUGCUCCUUCUUCUCUGCGGUCUUCCCUCACCGCCGGCAAUGGUCAAGCCGGUAGGACUAGGCUGGACUAAGCAGCCGAAGCACACGAAUCCACCAGGGUCUGUACUUCCCGGCCACCGAUUUAUUGACGUUCCGGGGAUGAAUGAUUCUUUACCUUGAACGAUGUUCGUAGCUUCGUGGUCGUAAUUUUAGAUGCGGAUGCGGUGUUCUUGUGUUGCACUUUUGGUGACUGUCGAAGAAACGGUCCAAAUUUCUGGAACCAAAACACAAAAGGCCCCUCCAGGACCUACGAGCGCAUUAGAUAUCUCACCGUACUAGCCCUACACCUAUUUCCCCGUACACCAGCAUUUUUAUUUAAAAAUGUUUACCUUUUGUUUUUUGCUACUAACAAUCACUUGUCUUCUCGGAUAUUGGAUUACAUUGUACUAUCACAAUAGCUAUACUUAACAAACAUACUUUUACAAUAAUAUUCUUUUAAGAUUGCACAAUUAACUUUGACUUACUUUUGAAUUUGAACAAAACAACAUUAUCUUCCGUCACAAUUUAAUUUUAAAAACUGUACAACUUUAAAAAAAUCACCGUCGCGCACCUGUGUUUUCUUUUGGAUUGCAAGAAAGAAUAAAGCUUCAUUUUACGGAUUGGCCUUUUUAAAGCUUUUCAAGUUUAAAAGCGGGAUAUCCGAAGCUUCCCGAUUUUAAACAACCUAUUGAAUUGGCAACAAUCCUCUUGGUUAGCACCCUGUGGUAUUGAACACCGUGUUCGUAUUUAUCGACGUAUCUGUGGGCGUAUUAGUGUCUGAGUGGUCCGUCCAUCCAUGGACUUGGAGGGUUACCACCCUUACAGUUGCAAAUCGGGGUGGUGAUAGUAAGCAAAGUUUUCCUACUGAGUGACUGUUCCGCCUAGAAGACUUGGAAUAUUAUCACCCAUAUAGGUGACUGUAUGCCGUCUCGGUAAAGUUAUCCCGCCUGAGUGACCCUUCCAUCUAGAAGAUUUGGAGUGUUAUCACCCACACAGUUGAUAGCUUAUCCGAGGCAGGUUGUUAGCAAUGAGAGACAUUCGCAUCAGAGAAAACUUUCCCCUGUAAACCAUCCCUCCGCCCAGAAGACUUGGAGGGCUAUCGUUCACACAGCCGACAGCUUACUCAGAUGUGGACUUAGGGCUUUAGGAUUAAGGAAAUUCGAGCAGGUUGAGAUCUUAAAUUGGCAAAGCUAAUUAUUUAAAAUUUGUAACCGAAAGGUUACAAUACCCCAUCAACCCUCUCUUCCUCUGAGUUAUUCAUCAAUUCUAAUUUCCUGUUGUAUCGACUUGUUUCGUUUAUGUUCGAGUAUGGAACAUGUUUUGUGCAACGCCCAAAUCAUUUUCAUCCCCCUUAGUACAUUUUGGUUCUAUCUCUAAGUUCUCACUUUCCUUCUACACUCAUGAGCAGAAGCAAAAGAGCUCACACCAAUACUCGCGUAAGGUAAUUAUCAGAUAGCAAUAAUGAAGGCACGCAUCCAACAUCGUGGACGCUACAUUUACUUAAAGUGGUUAUUUUGUAACAUUCUAAUAUUUAAGGAUAAAAAAAGGUAUUCCUAACAAUUUUUAUGGUGCAUCAGCUUUGGCAAACUUAUUCGUAUGUACUCUGAUCGGUUAUAGUAUCAUUUGGCGGUUUUUCUAAGUUUGCUGAGGGAUAAAAACUAUUAAGAUGGAGUCAAUUUUUCUCAGGUAAACAAACGUAUUUACAGACAUACAUAUAACAUUUAAGAAUCGUUCCUUUUUUCAGCUAACCAAGAACUAAUAGGUUUCAUUGAUGUCCGGACUUUUCAACGGUUUCAAGUCUGCCGCCGAAAACACACCCCUGGGUUGUUGAGUAGUAUUCUCAUUUCCCUUCUCCGCUGCGAAGAAGCAAAAGAGCUCUCUCGAAUACCGAGGCCCUGCCCCUGUCAAAAUUAUUCUUGAGUGUUCGGUGUCGUUCGCCUGUUAUCAAGACAUGCGGUUUUGGGAAAUUCGCGAUAAAUUGUACAAAAGUGAGAGUUAUUUGGGGGUAAUUGAGUCGAAAAUGCUUCUUACAUCCGCGCGCGCUGGAUUCUAUUCGAGUUAAAAAGGAGGAUAUCUAUGCAAGCCAUGAAAAAAGCGUUAUUAGCAGGUGCAUAUCCACCGGGUGCAUCAGUGAAGUUUCUCGCUCAGCGCUACUAUUUUGGAGCUGAAUGAUUUUGUUCUUCCCUACCCGGUUUUAGAUCGGCUACCGAAAAGACGCCAAUGGGCUUGCCGGAUUCAUUGGCCAGCUCGUAAGAACUUGUGCCAACACGGGCGAGAACGGUACAAGGCAAAUACAGGGCAUCUAGUUUUGCAUUAUAAUUGUCCACUGCCGAUGACUGCCGAAAAUUUCGUUUCCACACUUUCUGGCCGACAACGUAGACCGGGGCUGGAUUAUGGGAACGCAAAUUGUAGGUUUUAAUGUUAUUUUCAUGUGCUUUCUUUAAAUUCUUGAUUACGAUCGAGUAAAUAUGUUUAUCUAUCUCCUCCUUCCUCUUAAUCCUUUCCUCGUCUGACAUGUCUCUUUCAUCUUUAUCCAUCCGGUGUUCGUCCCCUUUUGUAACUAUUUCGUGUCCGAACAAAACCCUAUACGGCGAGAACCCCGUUGCGGUAUGAGGAGUGUUAUUUAGGCAAUGUUCAAUUUCCGAGACUCGCGUGUCCCACUGUUUUUGGUCCUGCUUUACGUAGGAACGGAUACAGGCAUUAAUCGUUCGGUUUAACCGCUCGACAGGGUUCGCUUGACUGUGGUGACGGGCGUUGGCCCAAUGUUGUACUCCAUAUUUCAUCAAAAGAGUUUUCAUUUCUUUCGAGAGAAAAGUGCUAGCGUUAUCGGAGAUUAGAUAUUCUGGAACCGAAUAUUUUCGGAACCAGUCCUCUUCUAAAAUUUUUGUAACCUGCGGUGCUGUUAUUCGUUUGACAGGAAUCAACAAGCACCACUUUGAGAAUAAAUCCAUUAUCACAAACAAAUGCGCAUAUCCACUCUUGCUCCUCGGCAAUGACUGUAUGAAGUCUAUGGCAAUGAUUUGGAAAGGCUUCGUAGUAAGUCGUUGCCUACCAGGUUCAGGCAGCUGAGAGCGAUUGGAAGGCUUAAUUUGUUGACAAAUCGAACAUUUGCGUAUAUAUUCUUUUAUGUCCAAAGCCAUCUUGGGCCAAAAGUAUUUUUUUCUAAUUCUCGCUAAGGUUUUCUCCAUCCCCAAAUGUAAGCUAUCAUCGUGUUCUUCAACUAGUAUUUUCUCUAUUAAGUUUUGUGGAAUACAAGUUUUCCAGGUGAAACGAUAAUCAAGCACGUUAUCUGGGGCAAAAAUAAAUUUCUUAAGAGUGGAGUUUUCUAUUUUAUAAUCUUUAUAUUUUUCAGGGUAAGCAUUAACCUUUUUUAAUAUAUCUGAGUACCAGCCCGAGGUGGCUUCUAUUGCCUCUACUGACCGCGAUAACGCAUCGGCUACGAUAUUCUCCGAACCUUUACGGUGCACCACUGUCAUGUCAUGCCGCUGAAGAUCUAUGCUCCACCGGCAUAAGCGGGAUGAUGUGCGCCAAGUACUUCGCAUAAUAUAGGUUAGAGCGGAAGCGUCCGUGUAAACUGUGAAUUUGGUUCCUUCGAUGUAACAUCUGAAUUUCUCAAUUGACCUGAGGACUGCUAGUCCUUCCUUUUCGGUAGCGAAAUAUCGUUGUUGGGUAGUCGAUAGCUUUUGCGAAAAAUAUGCAAUUGGCUUUUCGACUCCGUCUUGAGUUUGCGUUAGAACUGCAGCUAUUGCACCAUCGCUCGCAUCGCAGUGAAUGGCAAAUGGUAGUGAAAAGUCUGGAUUGGUAAGUAUGGGAGCACUUAUUAAAAGGUUUUUUAUAUUAGAAAAGGCGGUUUCCGCUUGUUCAUUCCAAUGUAAGUUUUUCGGUUUAUUACGUAGCAAAUCCGUUAAAGGUUGUGUAAACUCACUAUAGUUGGCCAGAAACCUCCUAUAGUAGUUACACAUACCUAAAAAUCUUCUUAAAGCACGUAAAGAAUUUGGCCGUUCGUAAUUCACAAUCGCGGAUGUGAUGACCCUUAAGCCUGCAGUUGAAACAGUAUCCCUCUUUGGGUGGCCGGUAAGUGUUUAAGAGAAUAUUCAUUCCUGCCGGGUCUUGCUCUGAUCUACUAUCUUUUCCACUUUCUCUAAUCGAUUGUAUCUCAUCAUCCGAACUUCGCGCCCGUGAGUUAGAAUUAUAAAAAUGACGUGUUUUCUGAUUCCCGUUUUCCGAUCUACGACUUUCUUUAGGUCUUGUCCCAGUGUGAACCUCGUUCACCUGGGCCAUUCUAUUGCGCGGGUUGCUAUCGUUCGUAGCGGUUUGGUAUUUAUACCAAUAAGUUGCAUCUAACCGUCUCCCGAAUCGUUUGAGAUCCGCGAGAUUAUCGAUUUCCGUGGAGACCACGUGGCCUUUAUAGUCCGCGCGCAUGUUUCGCAUCACAAAAUCGUACUUCUUCCGCUCGGUCAACGGUUUUGUACACGCGUUAAAUAUGGUUUGCAUAGCUAGAUAAUACUCUUGGAAUCGUUCGCGUGGACCUUGCUUGCGAGCACCCGCGCGUAUUUCACAAGCAUAAUCGUGGUCCGGACUCAAAAAUUCGCGUUUUAGCUCUUCUUUAAGUUGUUCCCAGGUUGUAAAAUCGUCGUUUUCUACUCCUGCCAUGUACCAAGUUUUCGCGGCACCGCUGAAUAAAUGAAUAGCCGAACGGAGUAGGUCCUUAUGCGACAUGUUUUCCGAUUUCGCGUAGAACUCGAUUUCUUUAAGAAAUUUCAUCAAAAAUUGACCAUUAUCCGCCCCAUCGUACUUUAACCUCCAGUCCGACACUGGCCUACCUUUACUUGCUUUAUUCAAUCGUUUUCUAUCUUUCAACUCGCGGCGCGAUUUAUCUGAAGACCACCCCGAUUCCGAAUCCGUCGAUUCUUUAUCAUUACGUAGACGGGAAGAAUUUCGAUCUUUCCGUGGGGAACGAGUUCUAACCUUUUCUUUACGAGUGAUUUGUCUUCUACCACCAUUGCCUUCUAGUGACUCCGGUUUGGAAUUAGUAUUUUCUGCUGCACUAAAUUGUAACAUUCUCUGUGUCGCCCACAUUUGCAUUGGGGGUGGUGCGAACAUCCAGGGAUAUGCACAUGCUUGCAUGAACGACUGAAACAUAUUCUGAUUUGGUAAAUAAUUCUGCAUAUGAUUUUCUACUGAUUUUAAUUGCCUUCUAUUAGGUCCUCCCGGAGUGACGAAGGGUACCUCCUCUUCAUUACUAGACGAAGCCGUUUUGUUUCCGAAAUCAAGAUUAUCAGGAUUAAUUUGUAAAUUUGACAUGGACUGGUUAAUCUGACUCACUAUUUCUUGCUGGCCUUCCGGUGAAAAAAUAGAAAAGAAGCUAUUGUAAGUUCCGCGAAUGCACGUUUCCAUUGUAUCGAUAUCAUUGAGGUCUUCCUCAUUAUCCGUAUUGUCUGUUAAUCUUUUCAACCGCGCGAAAUAAUGAACUAAUCGCGUUUUUAAUCCUGCUCGUGAGCCCUCAUACCUUUUCCUAUGUGAAAGACAAUCUUUGAUUUGUUUGAUAUUUGUAUCUAUGACCGAAAUCUCAUCUCCCACAGUAGUAUCUAAAAGGGUAAAAUCUAAAUUUGCACAAGCAUUGUUUUUUUCCGCUUUUAAUUUUUCUUUAAGGCGUCUUGUAAGAGCCGAACGUGUUUCCACCGAAGUAAAAUCAAUUCCCCGUAUUUUAAGCUCAUACUCUACUUCAUCUCGUUCCAAAUGGUGGACGAGAAGAUUUUUAUACUGGAGAUCGAAUUCGAUAUCCAUUUUUGUAACGGUAAAUUAUAAGCAAAAUUCGUGUGGAGUACGAACAGAUUUUAAUCAGGAAACUGAUUUUUACCCUCUCCUCCGGGGUGUUUCUAAAAAUGAAAAUUGUUGACUUUUGUGGGUUUUUAUAUGUUGGGCGCCAAUUUGUUAGCCUCUAACUGCUCAGUGGGGUGGGGGGGGUUUGAGAGGAAUUUAUGUAGCUUACCGGUACAGUCACAACAAUGCUUAUUAUCACCACGUAACUCGCGCGAACACAGAAACGGAUAUCGAAACAAUAUGCAAAGUUUAACCAAGGGAAAAACUUACCAGUUCAAUUGCUGCUGUUGAAAGGCUAAAUAAAAUAGAAAAAGCAAAAUUCUCAAAAGAAACCAAAAGAAGAGGGCUGAAUACUCCUUUCGAGUUCGGUAAGCGGAAAUCAGGGAAGUUAGUGGCGGAUAAUAUUGCUUAAACCCAAAGUUAUAAUCACUAUUACAAUUUUUAUUGUUCCCUAUCCCGAGAAUUCUCACGGCCUUAUUAAGUGUACUUGCGCGCAUUCGUUUUGGUGUACUAGAGGGGCUAGCGGUUGCUCCUUCUUCUCUGCGGUCUUCCCUCACCGCCGGCAAUGGUCAAGCCGGUAGGACUAGGCUGGACUAAGCAGCCGAAGCACACGAAUCCACCAGGGUCUGUACUUCCCGGCCACCGAUUUAUUGACGUUCCGGGGAUGAAUGAUUCUUUACCUUGAACGAUGUUCGUAGCUUCGUGGUCGUAAUUUUAGAUGCGGAUGCGGUGUUCUUGUGUUGCACUUUUGGUGACUGUCGAAGAAACGGUCCAAAUUUCUGGAACCAAAACACAAAAGGCCCCUCCAGGACCUACGAGCGCAUUAGAUAUCUCACCGUACUAGCCCUACACCUAUUUCCCCGUACACCAGCAUUUUUAUUUAAAAAUGUUUACCUUUUGUUUUUUGCUACUAACAAUCACUUGUCUUCUCGGAUAUUGGAUUACAUUGUACUAUCACAAUAGCUAUACUUAACAAACAUACUUUUACAAUAAUAUUCUUUUAAGAUUGCACAAUUAACUUUGACUUACUUUUGAAUUUGAACAAAACAACAUUAUCUUCCGUCACAAUUUAAUUUUAAAAACUGUACAACUUUAAAAAAAUCACCGUCGCGCACCUGUGUUUUCUUUUGGAUUGCAAGAAAGAAUAAAGCUUCAUUUUACGGAUUGGCCUUUUUAAAGCUUUUCAAGUUUAAAAGCGGGAUAUCCGAAGCUUCCCGAUUUUAAACAACCUAUUGAAUUGGCAACAAUCCUCUUGGUUAGCACCCUGUGGUAUUGAACACCGUGUUCGUAUUUAUCGACGUAUCUGUGGGCGUAUUAGUGUCUGAGUGGUCCGUCCAUCCAUGGACUUGGAGGGUUACCACCCUUACAGUUGCAAAUCGGGGUGGUGAUAGUAAGCAAAGUUUUCCUACUGAGUGACUGUUCCGCCUAGAAGACUUGGAAUAUUAUCACCCAUAUAGGUGACUGUAUGCCGUCUCGGUAAAGUUAUCCCGCCUGAGUGACCCUUCCAUCUAGAAGAUUUGGAGUGUUAUCACCCACACAGUUGAUAGCUUAUCCGAGGCAGGUUGUUAGCAAUGAGAGACAUUCGCAUCAGAGAAAACUUUCCCCUGUAAACCAUCCCUCCGCCCAGAAGACUUGGAGGGCUAUCGUUCACACAGCCGACAGCUUACUCAGAUGUGGACUUAGGGCUUUAGGAUUAAGGAAAUUCGAGCAGGUUGAGAUCUUAAAUUGGCAAAGCUAAUUAUUUAAAAUU